Molecule: long non-coding RNA, 6383 nt
Filed under: Lactuca sativa (garden lettuce)
Lineage: Eukaryota; Viridiplantae; Streptophyta; Magnoliopsida; Asterales; Asteraceae
Description: long non-coding RNA (LSAT_LNC004359)
Source: RNAcentral
AAAAACAUGGUAAAUACGUUAUUAAAACAUUUUCGAAGAAACGUAUUUAUUUCAUUUUAAAAUGUUUGGGAUGUCAUCGUUAAUACCGAAACAUAAGCAUAAACAGAACUUACAAUGAUUUACACUAGUGAUCUACAUCUCUUUUAAAUCUCUCAGUGUAAUGUCACUUCACUUCGUCACCUGUGAUAUACAUAAACUGAGUGGGUCAGGUUGGGAAACCUGGUGAGUACAUAGGGUUUUCAACCCACAAUAAUAUAAUUAUUAUGUUCAAUCAAACAAUCAACCCAAUUACCCAUCCCCAUUAUCUUCUUUACUCUUUAAGGAUUUAACCUAAGAGUCAUCUAUCCUGCAUUCGUUUAUUCCGAAGUCCCUUACUUCCAGGGUUAUGGGACUGGCACUAAAUCCAUAGCUGCCAAUGUUCGUUCAUAAAGCACUAAUUCCAUAGCUGCUAUAGUCUAUUCAUCGGGUACUAAAUCCAUAGCUACCAGUCUUUAUCUAAUAGGUACUAAGUCCAUAGCUACCAAUGUUCAACAGGUACUAAGUCCAUAGCUACCAAUUCCUACAGGUACUAAAUCCUUAGCUACCAGCGUCUAACUAAUAGGUACUAAGUCCAUAGCUACCAAUUCCCAACAGGUACUAAAUCCAUAGCUACCAACGUCUAAAAGGUACUAAGUCCAUAGCUACCGGUGUUUGUCCCAUAGGCACUAAGUCUAUAGCUGCCAAUGUAUACUCACGUCAUCUUCUAUCUCUCAUCAUUCAUCUACCCAUCUCAUACCCAACAUUUUCGUAUAUAUAAAAUACGUAUACAGUUUAAGUCCUUUAAAACAUGUAUAAAACGUUCAACCAGCAUAGACAGCAAGUAUUCAGAUAAUGUGCACACAUAGCACGUAGUUUAUAUAAAAUACUUCAUAUCUAUGUGUAAGAUGAAAGGGACUAUGCACUCACUUGAAAGGUGGUGAGUCGGCACUCGGACAGCACUUCGUUACUCUUAAAACAAUUAUCCCUUGACGAAACCUAGUAUCAUUACCACUAGAGUUUAGUCUAACGCUUGACGAGACUAAUUUAAUAGUCUAGCUAUUAUUACUAUUAUAUAAGCGUUAAAUAACACUCAAUAUAACUCAUAAUAAUAGCCUAAAUAAUUAUUUUAAGGUCCUAACAAUGUUACUAUAAUUAAAUAAAAUCUAUAUUAAAUAUACUAUAGGCGUAGCUCACUUACAGCGGGUUUUUAUUAAAAACCGGGCUUCGCUGGAGCAGCGUUUCCGAGCCGAAAGCUUUUCUUCUCGGAGCCGUCGGGCGCUCCGGGGCUUUCUUCUCGUGCUAGGGAGGUUCCGUAGACUUGGGAGGGGUUUAGGGAGGCUAGAGAGAAGUUAGAGAGAGAAAGAAAGGCUUAUGGUGUGAAGAAAAUAUGAGGAGUUCACCCUUGUAUUUAUAGGAAGUGUAUAGUAAAGUAGUCUCCAAGCUUCGUCCGUAACUUUUGCAUACGAGCUCCGUUUUUGUCUGUCUUUUUACUGUUGAGUUCCUAUUAAUGAGAUCUUCAACUUUCAUUUAGACCUCGUUGGCUAAUUCUCAUUCUAUCUCGGAUUUACAAAACUGUAUCAAAUUCGCCGCGCUCGAAAAGUAGGGACUAAGCUUCGUCCAUAACUUUCGCAUACGAGCUCCAUUUUUGUCUGUCUUUUUACCGUUGAGUUCCUAUUAAUGAGAUCUUCAACUCUCAUUUAGACCUCGUUGGCUAAUUCUCAUUCUAUCUCGUAUUUACAAAACUGUAUCGAAUUCGCCGCGCUCGAAAAGUAGGGACUAAGCUUCGUCCAUAACUUUUGCAUACGAGCUCUAUUAUCGACGUUCUUUAUAUCCACGCGUUGGUAUUUACGAGUACUACAACUUUCAUUUAGAUCCCGUCGGCUAAAAAUCGACCGAUCUAAAAUUCAGAUUUCGGGCUGUGCACUGCUAUGCUAAAUCUUAGAAAAAUCAUAACUUCCUCAUACGAAGUCAGAUUUGGGCGUUCUUUUUAUCGAUGUUCUUAGUUUAACAUAUUCUACGACUUUCGUUUAGAUCGCUAAGGCUAAAUCUCGCUCUAUCGUAAAUUCACUAUUUACGCUUCCCGGUAUCGUGCCGGUUCCGUCGCGAAACUUCAACGGGUCAUAACUUCUUCGUUAUAACUCGGUUUUCGGCGUUCUUUAUAUGUACGAAAACCUUGUAACAUACUCUACAACUUGGUUAAGAUUAUUUAUUCUAAAUAAUCUUUUGUCGAAAAGUCGUUUUCGACCCCUAUUGCCUCUAAUUUGACUAGCCCAGAUUUGCGGGCGUUACAAUUAUCUCCCCCUUAGGAUGAUUACGUCCCGGAAUCAUCAACGAAACAGGGUCGUAUAAUGACUCCAUACGUCAUCUCUUCAUCCUAGGUAAUAAUUAUAACUUCUACAUUCCUUCAAUUCUAUCUCUUAAACUCAUUGACUGUAAGAGUACUCGAUCGUGCACCUGCUCUCUACCUCAGGUUAGACUCCAAAUUAUGACCUUCAAGUCACAAUCUCGAUCCUUGCUGGAUACGGACUUGAGAUAAGUUCUUUUAUUACUACUAUAGAUCGAUGUGUCAUAUUCUAAUGACCUAUCAUCGUAUGUUGCAACACUUAGACUUAGGUCUCUUAGAGUUAAAUUCUAAAACAGACUAUGCCUUCCUUCAUGUUCUAAUGUGAUAUAAUCACACUUUAACAUUAGGCAUUUCUAGCCACCAACUUCUUUAACAACGAGUGCGAUACUUCUAUUGAUCGCUUUGAUUUCAACCGUUUGGUUUAAGUCGGACGCUACAUCAAACUUGGUUCUCUGAACCACACAACAUACUCAUCGUAGUCGGACUCGAUUCGAUAUGACCACUAGGGUCGGAAUAUCAACAAUCUUCUUAGUCAUUACCGAAACGAUGGUAACAACACACUUGAAUAAAACGAAAUCAAUUACUAGCUUCUUGGUAACCUUGUGACUUUCCCUGAUCCAAGUGUGAGUCCUGUGCUUCCGGUAGUAUAGGCCUCUACUACCAUUCACACCUACUCAUACUCGUCCCAAGUAUUGUCUCGCAGUUUCCCAAGUCACCAUGCAGCAAAUCACACAAUCAUUCGACACAUCAGAUAACAAAACGAAGGUUUUAUAUUAAUUCUUGAAACGAUUACAUAGGUGUUCAAGUUCACCCUAGACUAUGCCUCUACUAGGCUACAUCAUAAAAUACUAUGGCUACUACAUAACUUGAUCUUCUGAUAUGAAGUCCUCAUCCUUGAUUCCUCGCACGGUUUUCUGCUUCGUCGAGGAUCAUGUGAAAUGCCCUUGGCCUUGGUGGCGUUUCUGGUCUUACUGCUUUAUUUUUCUUUGGGCAGUUUCUGGACAUAUGCCCCUUGCCUCCACAUCCGUAGCAUACUUUAUCAUCAUGUGUGCAGUCUUUGGAAUAGUGACCAGUCCUCCCACACUUGUAACAAGUCACUUCUUCAUUGCACUUCCCACCAUGCUUCUUCUUGCAUCUAUCACACCAUCUUGCUUCACCUCCAUCUGCUCCUCCAAGUUUUGAGAAUUUUCUUUCCUUGUUCGACCUCGAAGAUCCCUCAAACUUUCGCUUCUCUCCUGCCUUAUCUUUUUCUAGACCCUUUUCUCUUAUCUGGGCCUCUACGUUCUUAGCUGCCCUAACAGCUGCUUUCAAGGUAGUUGCCAUUUUGACCAUUGGGCCAAAGUCAGUGGGCAGUCCGUUAGCAAACCUAUCAAUCUUGGAGAGUUCAGUAGGCACCAAGUAGGGAAAUAGCUUCAUCCUCUCGGUAAAUGCGGUGGCAUACUCAUCAACACUCAUCUUCCCUUUCUUCAGGUUCUGAAACUCGUUGUUUAGGUCUAUCAGAUCUACCUCCGAGCAGUACUGCAUUUUCAACUGUUCCAAAAACUCUUCCCACGACAUCCUUAAGGCUUCUCCUCGUGGCAUCGUAUCUGCCAAUAGCUUCCACCAGCUCAAGACUCCAGUUUUCAGUUGUCUUACAGCGAAGACAGUCUUCUGUUUCUCGUUACAGCUGCAGCUCUCAAACACCAUCUCCAUCUCAGAGAUCCAAUCCAUAAUCUCAACCGGCUUCGGGCUUCCUGAGAGACUUGGUGGUUUCGCACCCAAGAAAUUCUUGUACAUCCGCCCAUCCUUGUUGUUUCUCCCUUCUGGGCCAUCCCUUUGCUCACCUUGAGUCCCAACUUGACUCACUUGGCGGCUGUAGUUCCCUUCCUCAGAUUGCUCGGGAAUCAGUUCGGGUUGCUCAAUGGGCAUAGUAGGUUCGUCCCUAUUCAACAUCCGUCUCAUUUCUUCCCUUUGUUCAGCCAACAUAGCCCGAAUCAUGGCUUGAACUCCAGCCAUGGUGACUGGCUCAGGCGCAACUUCUUCUACAACAGGUAUUUGCUGAACCACUGGGGGUUGGUUCCUGUUCCCAUUUGCGUUUACGUUUCCGCUACGGGUCCUUACCAUCUCGAUCUAUACACCGAAUAAGGUGAAUUUAGACCUUUACUUGACGUUUAAAUCAUCCUUAUCACUCCGAAACGUUUACAUGCUAGUUCUAAUACCGUAGUCGUACGUUUAGAAUCCUAAACACAUAAGGUUUCCAGAUCCGGUCGGCAACAGACCAUAGAUCCGAACAAUUAACAACAUAUCAUGCACAAAGCAUUUAGCACAUAAAAGCAUUUUAGGCAUAAUUCCUAAAAUAAGCUAGUGCUCACACCUCACAAUCAUCGCUUAGCAUUCUAAGUUUAAGUCUAGAAAUAAAUCCAUAUUCCUAGUUCGCUUAAACUAAUGCUCUGAUACCAACUGUGACAUCCCCAAAAUCACGGCCAGAAAAGACCGAUUUUGUUUAUGCUUUAUAAAAAUCAGAGUACUUCAUUUUAUAAAAAGGUUGCGGAAUUUGUUCCCAGAAAAACAUGGUAAAUACGUUAUUAAAACAUUUUCGAAGAAACGUAUUUAUUUCAUUUUAAAAUGUUUGGGAUGUCAUCGUUAAUACCGAAACAUAAGCAUAAACAGAACUUACAAUGAUUUACACUAGUGAUCUACAUCUCUUUUAAAUCUCUCAGUGUAAUGUCACUUCACUUCGUCACCUGUGAUAUACAUAAACUGAGUGGGUCAGGUUGGGAAACCUGGUGAGUACAUAGGGUUUUCAACCCACAAUAAUAUAAUUAUUAUGUUCAAUCAAACAAUCAACCCAAUUACCCAUCCCCAUUAUCUUCUUUACUCUUUAAGGAUUUAACCUAAGAGUCAUCUAUCCUGCAUUCGUUUAUUCCGAAGUCCCUUACUUCCAGGGUUAUGGGACUGGCACUAAAUCCAUAGCUGCCAAUGUUCGUUCAUAAAGCACUAAUUCCAUAGCUGCUAUAGUCUAUUCAUCGGGUACUAAAUCCAUAGCUACCAGUCUUUAUCUAAUAGGUACUAAGUCCAUAGCUACCAAUGUUCAACAGGUACUAAGUCCAUAGCUACCAAUUCCUACAGGUACUAAAUCCUUAGCUACCAGCGUCUAACUAAUAGGUACUAAGUCCAUAGCUACCAAUUCCCAACAGGUACUAAAUCCAUAGCUACCAACGUCUAAAAGGUACUAAGUCCAUAGCUACCGGUGUUUGUCCCAUAGGCACUAAGUCUAUAGCUGCCAAUGUAUACUCACGUCAUCUUCUAUCUCUCAUCAUUCAUCUACCCAUCUCAUACCCAACAUUUUCGUAUAUAUAAAAUACGUAUACAGUUUAAGUCCUUUAAAACAUGUAUAAAACGUUCAACCAGCAUAGACAGCAAGUAUUCAGAUAAUGUGCACACAUAGCACGUAGUUUAUAUAAAAUACUUCAUAUCUAUGUGUAAGAUGAAAGGGACUAUGCACUCACUUGAAAGGUGGUGAGUCGGCACUCGGACAGCACUUCGUUACUCUUAAAACAAUUAUCCCUUGACGAAACCUAGUAUCAUUACCACUAGAGUUUAGUCUAACGCUUGACGAGACUAAUUUAAUAGUCUAGCUAUUAUUACUAUUAUAUAAGCGUUAAAUAACACUCAAUAUAACUCAUAAUAAUAGCCUAAAUAAUUAUUUUAAGGUCCUAACAAUGUUACUAUAAUUAAAUAAAAUCUAUAUUAAAUAUACUAUAGGCGUAGCUCACUUACAGCGGGUUUUUAUUAAAAACCGGGCUUCGCUGGAGCAGCGUUUCCGAGCCGAAAGCUUUUCUUCUCGGAGCCGUCGGGCGCUCCGGGGCUCUCUUCUCGUGCUAGGGAGGUUCCGUAGACUUGGGAGGGGUUUAGGGAGGCUAGAGAGAAGUUAGAGAGAGAAAGAAAGGCUUAUGGUGUGAAGAAAAUAUGAGGAGUUCACCCUUGUAUUUAUAGGAAGUGUAUAGUAAAGUAGUCUCCAAGCUUCGUCCGUAACUUUUGC